UGUAUAACGCUCACAGUGAGCCUGGCUCCCUCUGUAUAACGCUCACAGUGAGCCUGUCUCCCUCUGUAUAACGCUCACAGUGAGCCUGUCUCCCUCUGUAUAACGCUCACAGUGAGCCUGUCUCCCUCUGUAUAACGCUCACAGUGAGCCUGUCUCCCUCUGUAUAACGCUCACAGUGAGCCUGUCCCCCUCUGUAUAACGCUCACAGUGAGCCUGUCUCCCUCUGUAUAACGCGCACACUGAGCCUGGCUCCCUCUGUAUAACGCGCACACUGAGCCUGGCUCCCUCUGUAUAACGCGCACACUGAGCCUGGCUCCCUCUGUAUAACGCGCACACUGAGCCUGGCUCCCUCUGUAUAACGCGCUCACACUGCGCCUGGCUCCCUCUGUAUAGCGCAGCGCGCCUGUCUCCCAUUGCAUAGCGCACGCUCACACUGCGCCUGUCUCCCUUCGCCCGUUUUGUCUGUGCCUUGGAAAAGUCCAUUGUAGGUCUCACACAUAAGAACAUUAAAAGAACAUUCCAAUGUUUUUAACAAUUUCGUAAAUCUAUCCGAAUUGAAAGCAUGCCUACAUUUAUUGGGAAUAUAUCGAAACGGCUUGCAAAUGCUGCUGAACUGUUGUCUGCAGCCUUUGUAAGCCCCCAGUCAUGCGGCUCAUUAUGAAGUUUAAAAGUAAUCCCGGAGGGAAGGCAGGGCGCUCUAGCUUAGCUCGUCUGUUCACAAAUGGGAAGAAAACUAAUUUCACAAAUACCCACGUGGCUGCUGGACAUAAUAUGAAAUUAGUUUUAAAAAUUCAAAUUUAAGUCAGCC
Pelobates cultripes (western spadefoot toad) is the source of this 808-nucleotide non-coding RNA. NCBI's taxonomy places the organism in Eukaryota, Metazoa, Chordata, Amphibia, Anura, Pelobatidae. The record is from the annotation of a GenBank genome assembly.